UGGGGAAUAUUGCACAAUGGGCGCAAGCCUGAUGCAGCCAUGCCGCGUGUGUGAAGAAGGCCUUCGGGUUGUAAAGCACUUUCAGCGAGGAGGAAGGUGGUGAGCUUAAUACGUUCAUCAAUUGACGUUACUCGCAGAAGAAGCACCGGCUAACUCCGUGCCAGCAGCCGCGGUAAUACGGAGGGUGCAAGCGUUAAUCGGAAUUACUGGGCGUAAAGCGCACGCAGGCGGUUUGUUAAGUCAGAUGUGAAAUCCCCAGGGCCUCAAGCCUGGGAACUGCAUUUGAAACUGGCAAGCUAGAGUCUCGUAGAGGGGGGUAGAAUUCCAGGUGUAGCGGUGAAAUGCGUUAGAGAUCUGGAGGAAUACCGGUGG
Molecule: ribosomal RNA, 372 nt
Filed under: uncultured Serratia sp.
Lineage: Bacteria; Pseudomonadati; Pseudomonadota; Gammaproteobacteria; Enterobacterales; Yersiniaceae
Description: bacterial SSU rRNA
Rfam family: Bacterial small subunit ribosomal RNA
Source: RNAcentral